ACUUGGUAAUGCCUGCCCUCCUCAAAUGUCCUUAAUCUCCUCAACUCUAGCCCUCCACCGCUUUCUCCCUGGGGUUCUGAAGAGCCGGCGCCCCCUUGUCUGUCUGCGGCCAGGCGCCGCACCCUUCCCUUCCCGCGGGAACGGUUCCGGUCACCCUCAGGGGUGCGGCCUCUGCGUGCUAGUCCUGCAAAGCGCUGAUUGGCCGGCGGCCCGCUUGCCUCGUGUCCCAGCGCCAGCUGGGCCUAGGGCCAAGGUCUCGGGAAGCCCCGGGUGACCUCGCUCUUCUCGGAGCCGCGGCGCUGGGUCACCCGCCAGCCGGGCUCCGCGGGCCGCGAGGGAUUGUGGGUGUUCCCCAGGCGCGUGUCCUGGAACCGGGUGUUAAAUAUUCAGAUCCGUGCGCCCCGCGCUGAAGGGUGGAAAGGCACGGCCCCCAGGCUCUGGGGCUUGGAGAUUGGUUGCAAAUGAAAGACUGAAAGCUGGAGUGAAUCUGCCCAUUAUUUUUAUUCCCAGCAACAGCUGACCCCAGAUACAGUUUGUGGGGGUGGGGGGCGUUACUGCAGGGCAGUGCACUGUUAACGUCCUUCGUUUAUUGAGUUAAAAUCUCUUGUAAAUGUUAUAAAUGAGGAUUUUGCCAAUAAGCAGAAGGUCAAAUUUCAUUUUGACAAAUGAUUUAAUUAAAUAAUGCGGUGAAAAGUGCUUUUUGUUUAAA
Molecule: non-coding RNA, 709 nt
Filed under: Pan troglodytes (chimpanzee)
Lineage: Eukaryota; Metazoa; Chordata; Mammalia; Primates; Hominidae
Source: RNAcentral